AAAUUGAAGAGUUUGAUCAUGGCUCAGAUUGAACGCUGGCGGCAGGCCUAACACAUGCAAGUCGAACGGUAACAGGAAGCAGCUUGCUGCUUCGCUGACGAGUGGCGGACGGGUGAGUAAUGUCUGGGAAACUGCCUGAUGGAGGGGGAUAACUACUGGAAACGGUGGCUAAUACCGCAUAACGUCGCAAGACCAAAGAGGGGGACCUUCGGGCCUCUUGCCAUCAGAUGUGCCCAGAUGGGAUUAGCUUGUUGGU
This 256-nucleotide ribosomal RNA is filed under the name Salmonella enterica subsp. enterica serovar Muenchen. RNAcentral's name for it is "partial 16S ribosomal RNA". It matches the Rfam family "Bacterial small subunit ribosomal RNA", at positions 1 to 253 of the family's 1533-position model. RNAcentral also lists the same sequence under 6 other names. Lineage: Bacteria; Pseudomonadati; Pseudomonadota; Gammaproteobacteria; Enterobacterales; Enterobacteriaceae. The record is from RNAcentral.